AGUUUGAUCAUGGCUCAGGACGAACGCUGGCGGCGGGCCUAACACAUGCAAGUCGUGGGAGAAGCGGUUCCUUCGGGAACCGUGGAGACCGGCGGAUGGGUGAGUAACGCGUAGGCAACCUGCCUUUGGACCGGGGAUAACAUCGCGAAAGCGGUGCUAAUACCCGAUGAUGCAGCGGCCCCGCAUGGGGACAGUUGUUAAAGCCUUCGGGCGGCCAAAGAGGGGCCUGCGUGCUAUUAGCUAGUUGGUGGGGUAAGAGCCUACCAAGGCGAUGAUAGCUAAGGGGUCUGAGAGGAUGAUCCCCCACACUGGGACUGAGACACGGCCCAGACUCCUACGGGAGGCAGCAGUGAGGAAUCUUGCGCAAUGGGGGCAACCCUGACGCAGCCACGCCGCGUGCCGGAAGACGGCCCUAUGGGUUGUAAACGGCUUUUGAUCGGGAAGAACCUGGAGGUUUCGAUCUCCACUGACGGUACCGAUCGAAUAAGCACCGGCUAACUCCGUGCCAGCAGCCGCGGUAAUACGGAGGGUGCAAGCGUUGUCCGGAAUUAUUGGGUGUAAAGGGUGCGCAGGCGGAAGCCUACGUCGAGGGUGAAAGACGGCCGCUUAACGGUCGAAGUGCCUUCGAUACGGGGUUUCUUGAGUCCAGAAGAGGUUGGUGGAAUUCGUGGUGUAGCGGUGAAAUGCAUAGAGAUCACGAAGAACACCGGUGGCGAAGGCGGCCAACUGGUCUGGUACUGACGCUGAGGCACGAGAGCGUGGGG
RNAcentral lists this ribosomal RNA (764 nucleotides) under uncultured Bacteroidota bacterium. RNAcentral describes it as "bacterial SSU rRNA". It matches the Rfam family "Bacterial small subunit ribosomal RNA", at positions 10 to 766 of the family's 1533-position model. Lineage: Bacteria; Pseudomonadati; Bacteroidota. The record is from RNAcentral.